This is a long non-coding RNA of Papaver somniferum (opium poppy), 712 nucleotides long. RefSeq lists it as uncharacterized. The transcript has 2 exons. The record is from RefSeq and is a predicted model, not a curated record. NCBI's taxonomy places the organism in Eukaryota, Viridiplantae, Streptophyta, Magnoliopsida, Ranunculales, Papaveraceae.
AUCCGGUCACUUAGGUCUUCUCUCGAACAUGUGAUAUCCAUUUCACAGACGGUGACGGAAAGAACUCUGUUGGAAUUCGUCUAGUUCUUUACUAAAUAUCCUUCCUGCAAAACCAAAUUCAUACACAACCCAUUGAUAUCUAACAAACUAGGACUCUUAAGCAUUCAUCAAUUUCACUCUCAAUCAAACUAACCUCUUCUCCACUGGUUCUAUGUAGUUCUAGGGUUUCCUUUUUCUUCCGUUGUAUAUUUAAAAUGGUUGGGGCUAAACGAAAUCUUCUGCAACGAUUGAACAAAAAACAGAAGCAGAUCGAAGAACAUGUUCCUGAACUUGAUCCCAGGUGCUGACUCAGCUAACCAAGAAAUGGAUAAAAAAACUAACGAUGGGAGGAAACACUAAUUUGGAUCUAUUUGAGGAGGAAACGCUAAUUAUCGAUCUUGGGAGGGGAGGAAACACAAAAUAGCUCUUGAUUAUAACGAAGUAACCUGACAACCCAGUUGCACCGGGAUUAUUAAUGCUAGCAUUUCUUAAACAUAUUGAUGUGCACUAUUGAUAUCAACUUGUGUAAAAUAAAUAUAAUUUCUGCAUGCAUUCAUCUUCGGCCCCCAUACACCCGAACUUUGUUACUUCAGGUGGUUUUGGGAGUUAGAUUGAGAAGCCAUAUUACAGAAAAUUAAAAAAUAGUGAAUUACAGAGAAGCUGAGGGUGAAAA